GAGAGAGGCCUAACAGCAAUGAGAACUGCUAAUUCCCACUACCCCGGCUAAAAUCCGAGGCUCACUCG
RNAcentral lists this transfer RNA (68 nucleotides) under Procetichthys kreffti. RNAcentral describes it as "tRNA-Ser (AGY)". The record is from RNAcentral. Lineage: Eukaryota; Metazoa; Chordata; Actinopteri; Beryciformes; Cetomimidae.